This 495-nucleotide ribosomal RNA is filed under the name uncultured bacterium. RNAcentral describes it as "bacterial SSU rRNA". It matches the Rfam family "Bacterial small subunit ribosomal RNA", at positions 336 to 837 of the family's 1533-position model. The record is from RNAcentral.
CUCCUACGGGAGGCAGCAGUAGGGAAUAUUGCGCAAUGGACGGAAGUCUGACGCAGCGACGCCGCGUGAGCGAUGAAGGCCUUCGGGUCGUAAAGCUCUGUCCUUGGGGAAGAAGGUCUUCGGACUUGACGGUACCCAAGAAGAAAGCCCCGGCUAACUACGUGCCAGCAGCCGCGGUAAUACGUAGGGGGCGAGCGUUGUCCGGAAUUACUGGGCGUAAAGGGUGCGUAGGCGGCCCUUUAAGUCAGAUGUGAAAGCCCGCAGCUUAACUGCGGAAUUGCAUUUGAAACUGGAGGGCUUGAGUGUCGGAGAGGGUAGUGGAAUUCCCAGUGUGGCGGUGAAAUGCGUAGAUAUUGGGAGGAACACCAGUGGCGAAGGCGACUGCCUGGACGAUAACUGACGCUGAGGCACGAAAGCUAGGGGAGCAAACAGGAUUAGAUACCCUGGUAGUCCUAGCCGUAAACGAUGGGUACUAGGUGUAGGUGGUUUCGAUAC